CUUGUUCCUUAAAUAGGGACUAGUAUGAAUGGCAUCACGAGGGUUAUUCUGUCUCCCCCUUUCAAUCAGUGAAACUGAUCUCCCCGUGAAGAAGCGAGGAUAUUUAUAUAAGACGAGAAGACCCCAUGGAGCUUUAAACUCAGAAACACCCGCUAUUCUUAAAUCAAAUUAAUAUGCCUCCCUGAUUUCUAGUUUUCGGUUGGGGUGACCACGGAGUACAACACAACCUCCUUGAUGAACGGAACUCUUUCCUUAUUUAAGAACUACAGUUCUAUAAACCAAUACAUUGACAAAAAUUGAUCCAAAUUAUUUUGAUCAACGAACCAAGUUACCCUGGGGAUAACAGCGCAAUCCAUUUCAAGAGCUCAUAUCGACAAAUGGGUUUACGACCUCGAUGUUGGAUCAGGGUAUCCUAGUGGUGCAACCGCUACUAAAGGUUCGUUUGUUCAACGAUUAAAACCCU
This 463-nucleotide ribosomal RNA is filed under the name Kalophrynus pleurostigma. RNAcentral describes it as "partial 16S ribosomal RNA". It matches the Rfam family "Bacterial large subunit ribosomal RNA", at positions 1968 to 2597 of the family's 2925-position model. Lineage: Eukaryota; Metazoa; Chordata; Amphibia; Anura; Microhylidae. The record is from RNAcentral.